UUAUGGAAAGCCAGAAGAGCCUGUGACCCUGCCAUCCCCUGGCCGGUAGGGUUGAGAGACCAUACAUACCAAUUGGUCGUGGAUGCUCCAGAUUUGCGAAACGCAAUAUCAGCAGUUUGGUUUGAUGGAUGGUAAUUCCAAUAGAUAAAAGAACUCAACACAGGAAGAUCACUGCAAGUGCUGAAUACUUGAUUGCUAGAAAAGUUAUAGCUCCGGCAAGUUUGAGCAAAAGAUGAUGGAACACAUAUGGAGAUCAUCAGCAGAACACAAGAGAACAAAGCAGUUCUCAAGGAUUUAUCCAUGGCUAAUCAAUACUGAAAAAAGACGAUAUCAAUUACAGAGAUAUCUCGAUGGAUGAUCCUGCCUUGGGGGAACAAGUUUUGAGAAUGUGGAUAUGUGCUAAAAUUGUUCCCUGAGGUGUGGUUUGAGAGUUG
RNAcentral lists this unclassified non-coding RNA (434 nucleotides) under Hevea brasiliensis (rubber tree). Lineage: Eukaryota; Viridiplantae; Streptophyta; Magnoliopsida; Malpighiales; Euphorbiaceae. The record is from RNAcentral.